GGAUUAGAUACCCUGGUAGUCCACGCCGUAAACGAUGUUCACUAGCUGCUGGGGGCCUUGGCGCUCGCAGUGGCGAAGCUAACGCAUUAAGUGAACCGCCUGGGGAGUACGGUCGCAAGAUUAAAACUCAAAGGAAUUGACGGGGACCCGCACAAGCGGUGGAGCAUGUGGUUUAAUUCGAAGCAACGCGAAGAACCUUACCUGGGUUUGACAUCCCACUAAGAUCGGGUAAUGCCGAUUGUGCCCUUCGGGGAAAGUGGUGACAGGUGCUGCAUGGCUGUCGUCAGCUCGUGCCG
RNAcentral lists this ribosomal RNA (296 nucleotides) under uncultured bacterium. RNAcentral's name for it is "partial 16S ribosomal RNA". It matches the Rfam family "Bacterial small subunit ribosomal RNA", at positions 775 to 1067 of the family's 1533-position model. The record is from RNAcentral.